ACGUAGGUCACAAGCGUUGUCCGGAAUUACUGGGUGUAAAGGGAGCGCAGGCGGGAGAACAAGUUGGAAGUGAAAUCCAUGGGCUCAACCCAUGAAUUGCUUUCAAAACUGUUUUUCUUGAGUAGUGCAGAGGUAGGCGGAAUUCCCGGUGUAGCGGUGGAAUGCGUAGAUAUCGGGAGGAACACCAGUGGCGAAGGCGGCCUACUGGGCACCAACUGACGCUGAGGCUCGAAAGUGUGGGUAGCAAACAG
Molecule: ribosomal RNA, 251 nt
Filed under: uncultured bacterium
Lineage: Bacteria
Description: partial 16S ribosomal RNA
Rfam family: Bacterial small subunit ribosomal RNA
Source: RNAcentral